CCUACGGGUGGCUGCAGUGAGGAAUAUUGGUCAAUGGGCGAGAGCCUGAACCAGCCAAGUCGCGUGAGGGAAGACGGCCCUAUGGAUUGUAAACUUCUUUUGUCGGGGAGCAAAAGACUCCACGUGUGGCCUUACCAGAGUUCCCGAAAAAAAAGCAAUCGGCUAACUCCGUGCCAGCAGCCGCGGUAAUACGGAGGAUGCAAGGGUUAUCCGGAUUUAUUGGGUUUAAGGGUUGCGUAGGCGGAAUAUCAAGUCAGCGGUAAAAAUGCGGGGCUCACCCCCGUCGGGCCGUUGAAACUGUUGUUCUUGAGUGGGUGAGAAGUAUGCGGAAUGCGUGGUGUAGCGGUGAAAUGCAUAGAUAUCACGCAGAACUCCGAUUGCGAAGGCAGCAUACCGGCGCCCAACUGACGCUGAAGCACGAAAGCGUGGGUAUCGAACAGGAUUAGAUACCCUUGUAGUC
Molecule: ribosomal RNA, 460 nt
Filed under: uncultured bacterium
Lineage: Bacteria
Description: partial 16S ribosomal RNA
Rfam family: Bacterial small subunit ribosomal RNA
Source: RNAcentral